AGAGUUUGAUCAUGGCUCAGAACGUACGCUGGCGGCACGCCUAACACAUGCAAGUCGAACGCAGUAGCAAUACUGAGUGGCAGACGGGUGAGUAACAUGUGGGAAUCUGCCUUGUGGUUCAGGACAACAUUGGGAAACCGAUGCUAAUACCGGAUAAGCUCGAGAGAGGAAAGGUUUACCGCCUUGGGAGCAGCCCGCGUUAGAUUAGGUAGUUGGUGGGGUAAAGGCCUACCAAGCCUACGAUCUAUAGCUGGUCUGAGAGGAUGAUCAGCCACACUGGGACUGAGACACGGCCCAGACUCCUACGGGAGGCAGCAGUGGGGAAUAUUGGACAAUGGGGGAAACCCUGAUCCAGCAAUGCCGCGUGAGUGAUGAAGGCCUUCGGGUUGUAAAGCUCUUUUACCUGCGAUGAUAAUGACAGUAGCAGGAGAAUAAGCCCCGGCUAACUACGUG
This 453-nucleotide ribosomal RNA is filed under the name uncultured bacterium. RNAcentral describes it as "bacterial SSU rRNA". It matches the Rfam family "Bacterial small subunit ribosomal RNA", at positions 8 to 507 of the family's 1533-position model. The record is from RNAcentral.